AGUGUUAAGAGCUGAGCUGACCUGGAGAGGGCUUAGUGGCCAUAUGUUGGAGUAGUCAACUAAGGCUACAAAUCAAAAUGAAAGAAGUUAAGCCUUUACCCUCUUACUGAAACAGUAUAAACAAGAGGUUGGGUAAGAGGAAGUACCAGCAUCACAUUGUUCUAUUACCUACCUUGGAACUAUUCAAGGUAAGCGUCAGAUGCAUUAGUGCAGACAGAGGGCACUGUCUCACUGCCUGGGGAGCCCCAACGAAAGACUUCUGUCAUUUUAUGGACUUAGGAACAGAGGAAAGUGAGUGGGGAGGAGCUAGGAGUGGACAAGUCCAGAAUACUGAAAGUAAAGUGUCCUGAAAAUUCUGCCUUUCUCUUGACAAGGGGGUCUUGGCAGAGGUGCUUGAGGCAGGCCUCAGCUGGGUCUCCAAUAGAGGGCUCUGAGUGGGGCCUUCUGGGUUAGACAGGCUCAGAUGCCUUAGAGAAUCAGUCGCCUGCCAGGAGAAUUUGGUCCUCAGCUGCAGCUCUGGUCAGAGACUACAAGCUCAGGCUGUGGACCAAGUCUGGUGUGGGAAGACAGCUGCCUCUGUGGAGCCUGCCAGAUUAAGCCUGGGUAAUUGUCUAUUGUGAGGUCUGAAAGAUCACACACAGUCUUCUGGCAGGAGCUACACUCCUCACGAAGUUCAGAGAUUUCAUGACCUCUUAGGAUUCAAAGGAAGAGAACCAAAGUCCACUUAGCACUUACCAUAUGCCAACACUGUCCACUGCUCACAGCUUUUCUGCCACAGUGCUGAAGUUGAAAUUGUUGUCCUUUUUAAAUGAUCUCAGGAGUGACCCUCCUGCCAGGAGAUGAUUUCAGUUCUGAGUUCAUUCUGCCUUUACAGAGAUGGUAUCUGCCUCCUUCUAUCUUGGGUCCUGAUUCUGUCCUUUGGGCAAGGAACAUGCCUUAUUUAGCUUUGACAUGACUGCUCUUCGGGUAUAUGAAGACAGUGGCCUUGUGCUCUAUGUCUUUUUUUCUUUCUUUCUCCUCACAGUUCAACUUUUCAGCAGUUUGUCAAAUAACAUGGUGCCUGCUACCCUGAUCCUGGCUUCCUGUCUCUGAGUACUCUUCAUUUUAUUCAAGUGUGAAUCUCACUCCCCACCUGGCCCCCCUUGCCCUAACACAAACGCUCAUGUGAUCUGUCUCAUGUAGAUUAGAGAGGCACUAACAAGCAUUUCCUCUAUGGUUUGAAGUAUUAGCUGGCUCCCCUGCAGGCCGGAUUGGGAGUAACCACAGGAC
RNAcentral lists this long non-coding RNA (1269 nucleotides) under Marmota monax (woodchuck). Lineage: Eukaryota; Metazoa; Chordata; Mammalia; Rodentia; Sciuridae. The record is from RNAcentral.